ACUCCUGCGGGAGGCAGCAGUGGGGAAUAUUGCACAACGGGCGCAAGCCUGAUGCAGCCAUGCCGCGUGUAUGAAGAAGGCCUUCGGGUUGUAAAGUACUUUCAGCGGGGAGGAAGGCAAUACGGUUAAUAACCGUGUUGAUUGACGUUACCCGCAGAAGAAGCACCGGCUAACUCCGUGCCAGCAGCCGCGGUAAUACGGAGGGUGCAAGCGUUAAUCGGAAUUACUGGGCGUAAAGCGCACGCAGGCGGUCUGUCAAGUCGGAUGUGAAAUCCCCGGGCUCAACCUGGGAACUGCAUUCGAAACUGGCAGGCUUGAGUGUUGUAGAGGGGGGUAGAAUUCCAGGUGUAGCGGUGAAAUGCGUAGAGAUCUGGAGGAAUACCGGUGGCGAAGGCGGCCCCCUGGACAAAGACUGACGCUCAGGUGCGAAAGCGUGAGGAGCAAACAGGAUUAGAAACCCUGGUAGUCCCAUGA
Molecule: ribosomal RNA, 474 nt
Filed under: uncultured organism
Description: partial 16S ribosomal RNA
Rfam family: Bacterial small subunit ribosomal RNA
Source: RNAcentral